This is a non-coding RNA of Punica granatum (pomegranate), 2030 nucleotides long. The record is from RefSeq and is a predicted model, not a curated record. NCBI's taxonomy places the organism in Eukaryota, Viridiplantae, Streptophyta, Magnoliopsida, Myrtales, Lythraceae.
GGUGAAGUAGCGUGGAAACAACCACAGCGAGAGGGGGAGAGAGAGAGUAAUUUCGGGAGAUUAUUGCAAAAAGAAAAGGGGAGAGAGAGAGAGAGACGGAAUGGGAGAGUUCGGGAUGGAGCUCACCCGAAGAUGAGGAACAGGGGAAGAACCGAGAUGAGGAAGGGAAAAAGGAGUGUUCUGUGCAAAAGAGAGAGAAGUAUCGAGGGAAAGGAAAUUGAGCGUAGAGAGAGAGAGAGAGAGAGAGAGAGAGAGAGAGGGAGAGCUCUGCUCGAGAGGAAAUAGAGUAGAGAAGAAGAACGCGAGCUUGAUGGAUAGCUCAGGCUUGGGGUUUAGGGAAGAAUCGAGAGGAUAAUGGGUCCAUGGCAGCGGAGAGUGUAGCAAGAGAGGGAGAGAGUGAGCGAGCUGAAGGUGAGAGCGAAAGGAAGUGAUGAAAAGGGAACCCGGAAUAGAGCCCACUCAAGGAUGAAGAAGAAAUGGACAGGAAAGGAGUAUAAUUAAUGAUACGAUAGUGUGAUUAUGUGCUCAUGAAAUUGAUUUCUUGUUACAUUUAUAAUUGAUAGGGAUGGCGGAGGCCAAAACCAUGCAUUCCAAAGGUUAGAACCCAGUGAAAUAUUUUGGAAAAUUAUAUGAUUACUCUAUUUCCUUGCAAAAUGAUGUAUUAUAGUUAUAUACAUUAUUUAAGAAUAAUAUUGUAAUAGUUAGAGAUUAAAGCAUUGGUCUUGCGAUGUUGUAUGAAGGGAUUUGGGACAUAUAGCCCUCUUAUGUUUCAUUUUGACUUGAGACAUACGGUGUGAUUGUGUAUGAUGAUUAUGUAUGAGAUAUACGAUGUGAUUGUGUAUGUUGAUUUUGUAUACUGAUAUUGCAGCUUGAUUGUUAUAGCCAUGGGAUCGCUGGACCCGAUGGAAUUGGAUUUGGGGUGUGGUUGACCGCUAAACCGGCGGGAUAUAAAAUUGAGAUGCAUUUCACACUUUGCAUAUUAUCUUUCUAGAUGGAUUAGAGAUUAGCUUGGCUGAGUAGGAGAAUCAUUUUUGACAGCGGGGAUCAACUUGGAAGACUUCCUGGAUAGCCCUAUUUAUUUUAUAUCUUACAGAUAACUAAGCUAUUAUAAGAGAAGCUUAAAAGUAUGUUAUGGCCUGGAAUAUUUUUUUUUGUAUAAUUAUUCUUUUGGUAAUUAGAGAUCAGUAAUAAUCUAUUGGGAUGUUUAACAUGUGAUUUAUUUGAUGGAAUAAAUAAAUUGACAAUUGGAGGCCUAGCAUAUUGAAAUAUUAGCAAGUUUUGGAUUAUUGAAAUUUUAAAAGAAAUGUUGCUGAAAUUUUGGGUUGUGACACAAUUCCUGAAGGCAAACAGUUGAACACAUUUCAGAGCGAUGCCUUUGGGGGGAAUUUUGGGUUGUGUGGAUUUCCCUCUCAAAGACAAUGUGGAGGGGACGCAAAUGAACCACCACCAUCAAGUACUCUUACAGAUGAAGAAAACACGGAGAAUCGAAAUUGGAUGGAAUGGCGAGCGGUACCAAAUGGGUUACAGACGCUGAACUGUUCUUAGACUUUCUGUGGGAUAUAUAAUGCUUCAUUUCCAAAGACCUCUAUGGCUCAUGAGGAUGAUGAAGAGAAGUAUAUACAAGCUGCAAAGAAGAGCUCGAAGAACUCAUGGAAGAGACGGCGGGAGGAUGCGGCGGCGAUGAUUGAGGCAAACCAACAACAGUUGAUGGAUCACAAUAAAUGGCAGGAAUGUAGGAGCCUUCACACCCAUCCUCAGUUUGGGAGAUCUUAGAGAUCAUACUAACAGAGAAAUGGAGUGUCUCUGUCUCAGUAUGUGUGUGUAUGUGGUCUUAUAUAUUCAAAUCCUAGCAAUGUUGUGAUGUAAUAAACAAUACUGGGCAAAUAUGGAGCAUUACGAGUUCAAUAUCAACUAAUAUCAACGACGUCAAGUACGGCCUAAUGGUUCUGUUCUUGGUAGGACGGUGUUUGCUGAAUGAUAAGACUCCUGUGUAUGUUAAUGAGCAUUCGAGGAGUUCCUAUUUACCGGAA